UUUAUUACGCCAAAGCAACACUGUGCUUAAAAAGUGACAUACCUUAUUAGAGAGACAGCACAAAAAAAUCGUGCAAUUGUUUUACAAGAUGGAAAAUCACAGAAACUACUUCUAUUCUCUAUCUUCUCUGCAAAAGAGAACUAAAUUCUCUGCGGGCCGCAGAACAGGUUUAUAUCCGCCCUGUUCACCAAGGACAGGGCCUCCCCUGCUCCCUGAAGUCUUGUCCAAAUGGUCUGGCUGGACAGUCGCUGCCACCAAAGAAAAGCUGGGCUGCGACACUUACUGGGAGGAGCUGGUUUGCAACCUGGAGGAUGAGGGGUGGGAGGAACAGAGAUGCUGAGAACUCUCAAGCAAAUUUUUUAGCAAAAAAAGCACCUCUAUAAAAGUUGCCAUGCACAGAACAUGUGAAAGGGGUUCGGUGUGUAGAGAGCAGAGUUUAUGAAUGGGGCACACCUUGUGGUCAGACACAGAAGUAAGCCUGCCAUUUGGCCAGCAAGUGGCUUAACGUGUUCUCCCCGCACCUUCCCUUGUAACCUGGGAUGUGUUAAAUUUAUCAGGCUGCAGAAGGAGCCGUGUUCAUCCUCAGAGGGUUCCAGCCACCCUUCUCCAGGUCACCUCUCUGUGCCCCCAAAAGAUGAAGCACUGGGCUCUAGUGGAGCCAAAGCAAGAGGGCUGCCCCCACCCCACAAGGGCUCCGCACAGACCCGCUGUCUCCUCCCCACCUCCAUCCUGGGGCCGCCUCCACUCUGUCCACCCUGGAUCGUGCAACCAGGUGUCUACCCUGACAGUUCUCCUAAGGGGGAGCAGCAGGGCCCUCAGUGGAGCGUGUGGUCCCACCAGGUUGGAAGAGAGGACCCAUCUGUCUCCUUAGCCCCUACUGUCACCCCAAUACAGGCACAGAAAAACACACUGCACUUGAGAAGAAGACCAUUCCUGGUGUUUCCAGAAGUAAGCACAGCACAAUAAGGCAGGACGUAAAGAUGAGCCUACAGCUGAACAAAGAAUAGUCAAAGGAAAAAUAAGCUGAACCAGGAGUGACACUGACGCUCUCCACACACACCCUUCAGUCCCAAAGGUCUCCUAACAGGGGCCGUGCACCUGCACCUAAGUUUUUGAGAAACCGGGGUGAAAGGGCAACAAUGGUCCUGAUUCGUGGUAUGGAAACAAAUAGCACAACUGAGACAAACGAGAUAGAGCGCACCUCAGCCCUUCCAGGUUCCGAGAUAAGAAUUCUCUCCUGCAGGCCCCCAGCCAAGGAACUGAUGCCAGGGAAACAGAGAGAGUCUCGCAGCUCCGACAACAGUGACUUUCCUGGGCUGAUCGCUGUAAUGGCUUCAGUUGCUAAAAUGCAAUUCAGAAAAGAGCAAUCUUUAUUCCUUCAACAUUGAAGACCACAUCCCAUGUGCCCAGCCUGUGCUAGCAGUGGAUACACGCUGGAGAAGAGGAGAGCCUCGAGAUGUCAUAGGGCAUCAGGGGAGACGGGCAGCAAAUCACAGGUCAAUGUCCACAUGCACAGUGGAACUAGCAUACGGAAGAGCAUGAACAGUGAUGAAGUGGGCAACCACACCAGCCACCAGUGACAUCACAGACAGUCUACAUGAUGUGACGACGGUUGUUGCUGGUCUCUCGAAAUACCCUUCAGGCUCAGCACUACCUCAGGACUGCGGUGGGUCCCAAGCCUGCAACCGGGUCUUGUAAUCUAAUGUGUUGCUCUAAAGUAAAUAUAUUACUAUACCACCAAUUUGUUUCAUAUUUUUACACAUAUCUGUUUCCUUUGAAACAACAUAUUUCAACUUAAUUUGUUUCCCUAGAAAUCCUAUAUAUUUUGUGUUGAGAAAUUUCAUUCUGAGAAGAGGCUCAAAGGCUCCAAGCAGAGGUCUCUGGGAAAUCAAUCAGUCAAUAAAAAGAAUGGCAAUAAAAUUAAGAAGCUCUGCCCUUGAACAAUUGUUCUCACCAUUCUUUAGUGUAAUGGAUGGAUGAAGUAAGAAUCUUUCUGAUUUAUCCAUUAAUGCCAUUUCUUGCAAAUGACCUUUUGAUAAUAAGAGAAUAGCAGUGGGUUCCAAAGCAAUUCACCACAAGAAAAUAGAAAAAAAAGGAGAAAACCAUCUCUAUAGAAUUUAAAAAAAUGGUAAAAUUCAAUAUCUACUUAUCAUCAAAAACUUCUGGAAAACUAUGAGUAGAGGAGCAUGCUCUCAACCUGAUGAAGGACAUCUUCAGGAAAUCUACAUAAACAUCCUACUUGAAUGUAAAACCUAGACGUUUCCUCUCUGAGGUGGAGAAUCUUGCCUGUCCUCACCACUUCUGUUCAACAUGGCCCUGGAAGGUCUAGACACUUCAAUAAGGCAAGAAAAAGAAAUAAAAGGCACAAAGAUUGGUAUAAAAGAAAGAAAACUGUCAUUAUUGACAGAUGAUGUAACUUUAUAAGUAUAAAAUCCAGGAGAAUCUAUAGAUAAGUUAUUAGAAUUAAUGAGUGAAUUUAAGAAGGUUACUGGAUUGUGGUCAAUAUAUAAAAAUCAAUUGGAUAUUUUUCUCCUGGCAGCAAACAGAAAUAAUUUAAGAAAAAAAAGAUAAUGUAGCAGAUGCUUGCCGUGCUCUGUGCUACAUCCUAUCCACCAACCUGAUUUCAGCACAGCUGUGGUGGACAGUUCCACACACGUGGUCGUGUCCUACAUCAAGCACACACUGUGGGGUCUGCUUCUCCGCUCAGGGAAUUCAUCCAAGAUGCAGAAGUCCUCUCAGUCUGUGCACAGAGACACCCCAGAAGUGCAGGAACAGUAAUACCUUGGGAGGCCACCCUCAACCAUUCGAGGAAUGGGGUUGUU
RNAcentral lists this long non-coding RNA (2822 nucleotides) under Equus caballus (horse). RNAcentral describes it as "lncRNA (ENSECAG00000036338.3)". The record is from RNAcentral. Lineage: Eukaryota; Metazoa; Chordata; Mammalia; Perissodactyla; Equidae.